This 369-nucleotide unclassified non-coding RNA is filed under the name fungal sp. RNAcentral describes it as "partial internal transcribed spacer region". The stretch from base 1 to 46 matches the Rfam family "Eukaryotic small subunit ribosomal RNA", at positions 1786 to 1831 of the family's 1831-position model. The record is from RNAcentral. Lineage: Eukaryota; Fungi.
AAGUCGUAACAAGGUCUCCGUAGGUGAACCUGCGGAGGGAUCAUUAACACGUUUUAAAACACGUUUUAACUAUAAACCAACCAACCACGUGAACUAUUUAACACUCCUGGAAGAGAAAGAAUUCUGUCUCCUCUCACUAAUGAUAAGUUUACAAGCAAUUGUAAACAGUGAGUUUAGACUAACAUUGCAGUUAAGAGCUGACUUGUAAAGACCUUUCACUUUUGGGCUAAAUGCUCCUAUUAUCAUUCGAGCGAAAACAACCCCUUUCACCAUUUCUAUAACUAUUGACUGAUCUUUUUCUUUGCAACAUAAGAAAAAACCUAAUCAAAUAUCUAAGCACAACUCUUAGCAACGGAUAUCUUGGUUCUC